UAGGGUGAAAUCCGACAAGCGUGGCCGGGGGGAUCGGUCGAAGAAUGCUGAUUAUCCCAUCGGGGGAUCACGCGCCCGCGCGCCGCGGUCAGUGAUAACUUGGAACCUGUCCUGCUCGCGCGCUUGCCCAGGAGCUGUCUUGUACUUAGAGAAUCGACCUGGAAGACUGAUUUUUUUCACGAUGCACCGAUUAAUAAUCAUCAUGGCUCUGGCACUCUGCAUGGCUCUCGUUGCUGCGAACAGGUACAAAGAAAUCCAAAUGUCGAGCAUCUUUGUUUGCUGGCGUGAGUGUGACAAUCAAUGUGAAGAGGCGUUCAAACAGAGAUUCAGCAGCGGCAGUUGUAAUGGAAACAUAUGCACUUGCGAGUACACGAGUUAGAAGACUCUUCUUUUUAGCAAUUACCACUCAAAGUCGUUAGUUAUUGACACUAGUUUUUAAGAAAUUUCUUCACUCAAAUGCUCACAGCCCUGAAUGGCGGAAAAACUCACCUCCCAAGAAAUGAUUAAGCGCAUGCAUUUUUCCCUAGUAGCACACAACAUAAAAAUUACAAACAAACUGUUGUAAAAAAUUUCAUGAAAAAAGUAGGUGGUAAAAUGGACCUAAAAAAAAUUGGGUAGUACUUCUACCAGAAAAAUGUGUAAAAUAUUCAAUCCCUUUUGCAGAAAUUUUAACUCCUUUAAUCACAAAUUUUUCGCAUAAAAUUCUUCAACUCUGAUUGAUUACCUAUUUAUGGGCUCUCUAAAGAUGAGUAAAGCCUUGAAACUCAAAAAAUUACCAGAUUUACAUUUUAUUUCAAUGCUCUUUUUUUUUUAGCUGUAUGAGCUAAUACGGCGAUGCAUAAAAGUGACAGUCGUCAGAGAAAAGUACCUUGGUACCGAAUGCACAGAAUAGAAGUAUUGAUACUACUGCAUUAAGGAGUGUUUUUCAAACAUUUAGGCACAAAAUUUUUUACAGAUAUAUCAAAUCUAACGGGAAUAACGGCAGUUUGAAAUUUGCAGUUAAAAAAAUACGUAGGAAAAAACCUUUCAUAGGUUUUACUAUGCCAUGUUCAAGGCUCAAAAUCUUAGAAUGAUAAUGACGGUUUUGAUCCACCUUUGGCACAGAAAUAAAGUAGAUCAGUUUCUCCUUGCUUCCUGUAAAAUACUGCGGAGAGAAUUGCCAUCGCAAACCCAGAAAAGAAAGUUUUUAACGCGAUUUAACGAAAAUUUCUCCUACAAAAUUUGCUGCCUAGGACUAAGGUCCAUCUUCUUUCAUGGCCAGGCCGGUCAAAAAUGAUUAUUUUUUCGAAAUCAUUUCAAUUGAAUGAUUCAUUUGAAUAAUUAUUGAAAUAAGUAAAAUUUGAAGGAGUGCGCAGGUAAGUAAAAAAUUAUUCUUCUUUAAAGAAAACCAGGCUUGACAGUAAUUUACCUACUUCAUUUUCUAUUGUUGAAAAGAACUGAUGUCCUAAGUAUCAACAUUGUUAUUUUAGCUCAUUUAUAGUUAACUAAUUUGCAGAAUGUACAGAAAAAACAGCCUAGCCAAUCAAUAUUUUUGAAUAAACUUUUAAUUUUUAAU
Bemisia tabaci is the source of this 1555-nucleotide non-coding RNA. The record is from RefSeq and is a predicted model, not a curated record. Lineage: Eukaryota; Metazoa; Arthropoda; Insecta; Hemiptera; Aleyrodidae.